GGAUAGCUCAGUCGGUAGAGCACGAGACUCUUAAUCUCAGGGUCAUGGGUUUGAGCCUCACAAUGGCCA
Molecule: transfer RNA, 69 nt
Filed under: Podarcis lilfordi (Lilford's wall lizard)
Lineage: Eukaryota; Metazoa; Chordata; Lepidosauria; Squamata; Lacertidae
Description: tRNA.Lys
Rfam family: tRNA (bases 4-61)
About the family: Transfer RNA (tRNA) molecules are approximately 80 nucleotides in length. Their secondary structure includes four short double-helical elements and three loops (D, anti-codon, and T loops). Further hydrogen bonds mediate the characteristic L-shaped molecular structure. tRNAs have two regions of fundamental functional importance: the anti-codon, which is responsible for specific mRNA codon recognition, and the 3' end, to which the tRNAs corresponding amino acid is attached (by aminoacyl-tRNA synthetases). tRNAs cope with the degeneracy of the genetic code in two manners: having more than one tRNA (with a specific anti-codon) for a particular amino acid; and 'wobble' base-pairing, i.e. permitting non-standard base-pairing at the 3rd anti-codon position.
Source: RNAcentral